CCUCCGAUCAAAAGGAGUGAUGCCAUGAAGCCCCGUACCCUGCUGACAAUUGCCGCCCUUGUGGCUGCGGCUGUCGCCAUCCCGGCGGCGCUGGCCAGCAAUCCGCCGCCGCCGGCGGCGGACAAGUCCACGGCAGAUUCUGCCGAAAAACCCACUGAUGAAGCCAAGGCCCGUGCUGCCCGCCGUGCUGCUGCCGCUGCUGCGCACCGUGCGCGUGGCGAGCAGGCGCCGCCGCAGCGCGAGGAAGAAGAGGAAGCCAAGCGCAAGCCGUAAGGCUUGCAGCUGCCGUUUGUGCGCCCCGGUCUGGAUCGGGGCGCACUUUUUUGUUUUCGCAGCCA
RNAcentral lists this small RNA (338 nucleotides) under Stenotrophomonas koreensis. RNAcentral describes it as "Proteobacterial sRNA sX6". It matches the Rfam family "Proteobacterial sRNA sX6". The record is from Rfam by way of RNAcentral. Lineage: Bacteria; Pseudomonadati; Pseudomonadota; Gammaproteobacteria; Lysobacterales; Lysobacteraceae.